AUUGAACGCUGGCGGCAGGCUUAACACAUGCAAGUCGAGCGGGGGAAGGUAGCUUGCUACCGGACCUAGCGGCGGACGGGUGAGUAAUGCUUAGGAAUCUGCCUAUUAGUGGGGGACAACAUCUCGAAAGGGAUGCUAAUACCGCAUACGUCCUACGGGAGAAAGCAGGGGAUCUUCGGACCUUGCGCUAAUAGAUGAGCCUAAGUCAGAUUAGCUAGCUGGUGGGGUAAAGGCCUACCAAGGCGACGAUCUGUAGCGGGUCUGAGAGGAUGAUCCGCCACACUGGGACGGAGACACGGCCCAGACUCCUACGGGAGGCAGCAGUGGGGAAUAUUGGACAAUGGGGGGAACCCUGAUCCAGCCAUGCCGCGUGUGUGAAGAAGGCCUUAUGGUUGUAAAGCACUUUAAGCGAGGAGGAGGCUACUUUAGUUAAUACCUAGAGAUAGUGGACGUUACUCGCAGAAUAAGCACCGGCUAACUCUGUGCCAGCCGCCGCAGUAC
Molecule: ribosomal RNA, 501 nt
Filed under: uncultured bacterium
Lineage: Bacteria
Description: partial 16S ribosomal RNA
Rfam family: Bacterial small subunit ribosomal RNA
Source: RNAcentral